Molecule: ribosomal RNA, 1188 nt
Filed under: fungal endophyte
Lineage: Eukaryota; Fungi
Description: eukaryotic LSU rRNA
Rfam family: Eukaryotic large subunit ribosomal RNA (bases 598-1188)
Source: RNAcentral
GUGCACGCCUUUUCUCUUUUUCAUCCACACACACACACACACCUGUGAACUUGUGAGACGGGAAGGGAAAGAAGAGAUUCCUACCUUUCCGUCUACUCAAUCCAUUUACACAAACCCCAAUUGAUAUUUAAACUGAAUGUAAUUGUGAUGUAACACAUCAUUAGAAACUAAGUUUCAACAACGGAUCUCUUGGCUCUCGCAUCGAUGAAGAACGCAGCGAAAUGCGAUAAGUAAUGUGAAUUGCAGAAUUCAGUGAAUCAUCGAAUCUUUGAACGCACCUUGCGCUCCUUGGUAUUCCUUGGAGCAUGCCUGUUUGAGUAUCAUGAAAUUCUCAAAGGCAAUCUUUUUAUUUUAUUUAAAAAGGUUGACUUUGGACUUGGAGGUCUUUUGCAGAUGUUACAAUCUGCUCCUCUUAAAUGCAUUAGCUGGAUCUCAGUAUAUGACUUGGUUCCUACUCGGCGUGAUAAGUAAAAAGCUCGCUGAGGACAUUUUGCUUUUUUUUUAGCAAAGUGGCCAGGUGUAAUGCAGAUGAACCGCUUCUAAUGGUCCAUUAGCUUGGACAAGACUUUGUUUUUACAAGUCUUCUACUUUAUGAUCUGAUCUCAAAUCAGGUAGGACUACCCGCUGAACUUAAGCAUAUCAAUAAGCGGAGGAAAAGAAACUAACAAGGAUUCCCCUAGUAACGGCGAGUGAAGCGGGAAGAGCUCAAAUUUAAAAUCUGGCGGUGUAUUCCGUCCGAGUUGUAGUCUAGAGAAGCAUCAUCCGUGCUGGACCAUGUACAAGUCUCUUGGAACAGAGCGUCAUAGAGGGUGAGAAUCCCGUCCUUGACAUGGACUCCCAGUACUUUGUGUUGUGCUCUCAACGAGUCGAGUUGUUUGGGAAUGCAGCUCAAAAUGGGUGGUAAAUUCCAUCUAAAGCUAAAUAUUGGCGAGAGACCGAUAGCGAACAAGUACCGUGAGGGAAAGAUGAAAAGCACUUUGGAGAGAGAGUUAAACAGUACGUGAAAUUGUUGAAAUGGAAACGCUUGAAGUCAGUCGCGUUCUCUGGGAUUCAGCCUUGCUUUUUGCUUGGUGCAUUUCCUAGUCUACGGGCCAACAUGAAUUUCGACCGGUGGAAAAAGGCAGAGGGAAUGUGGCACCUCCGGGUGUGUUAUAGCCCUUUGUCAGACACGCCGGUUGGGAUUGAGGU